This 803-nucleotide long non-coding RNA is filed under the name Homo sapiens (human). RNAcentral describes it as "HSALNT0358001". Lineage: Eukaryota; Metazoa; Chordata; Mammalia; Primates; Hominidae. The record is from RNAcentral.
GCAUGGUGGGCUGCAGGUCCCAAGCCCUGCCCCGCGGGGAGGCAGCUGAGGCCCGGUGAGAAUUUGAGAGCAGUGCCAGCACUGCUGGGGGACCCGGCACACCCUCUGCAGCUGCUGGCCCGGGUGCUAAGCCCCUCACUGCCCAGGACCUGCGGCGCUGGCCUGCUGCUCUGAGUGCGGGGCCUGCUGAGCCCAGCCCACCGGGAUCUCCUGCUGGCCCACAAGCACCCCAUGCAGCCCCGGUUCCUGCCUGCACCUCUCCCUCCACACCUCCCCGCAAGAAGAGGGAGUCAGCUCUGGCCUCGGCCAGCCCAGAGAGGGGCUCCCACAGUGCAGCGGCGGGCUGAAGGGCCAGAGUGGAGGCUGAGGCCGAGGAGGUGCCAAGAGCGAGCCAGGGCUGCGAGGGCUGUCAGCAUGCUGUCAUCUCUCAAUUGUGAGGCCUCCUCAGCGACAUGGAACUCUCACUCUGAUGGAAGCCAGCUGCUAUGCUGUGUGUUGCUCUAUGGAGAGACUCAGGUAGAAGGAAUUGAAGGAGGCUUUCGGCCAACAGUCAGCAAGGUACUGAGGCUUUCAGUCCAAGAGCCUAUAAGGAACUGAAUCCUACCAGCAACCAAGCAAGUGGCUUGAAAAUGGACCCUCUCUCAGCUGAGUCUUUGAAUAAGAUCACAGCUCUUAUUCAAUAUGACACCUUGAUUGUAGUCUUGUUAGAGAUCUUGAGCCAGUGGCACCCAGCUAAGCUGUACCUGUAUUCCUGACCCAUAAAACCCCACAGAUAAUAAAUGUUUGUCAUUUUAAACUGUGAA